Molecule: long non-coding RNA, 1414 nt
Organism: Myotis daubentonii (Daubenton's bat)
Lineage: Eukaryota; Metazoa; Chordata; Mammalia; Chiroptera; Vespertilionidae
Source: RefSeq, a predicted model, not a curated record
CGCCGGAAGUGCGUGGCCGUCCGAGGCCAUGGCGGCGCUUGGCGUCGUCUGCGUGCUGCUCGGGGCAGCGGCCGGCCCGUUCGCCGGCGCCUUGAGCGAGGAGUUCUGGGUCAGCCAGUCGCCGGCCCACCUGCUGUCGGACAGGGCGAGCUACAGACGGAAUUAUUUAUAGAUUCAACCCACGGCCCUGCCUUGUGCUCUGAACCCCUCCUGGAACAAGUGCUGAGACUUGUGGGUGCCUCUGCAGAACCACGAGGACCACUCGCGUCCAGGGUCAGAACCAGCAGCGAGUCCCCUUCACUUCAGGGGUUGGUGGGCCACGUAGCAUGUCCCAUGGUAUCCCCCCACUAAGCAGCCACAAGGAGGCAGAGAUGCCCAGAGAGAAGGAAAGACCUGGAUGGAGGGAGUGAUAAAACGGUGCAGAGCCCUGCAGCCCCAUCCCAGCAGUUCCAGUGUCUGAUCCUGGUCCCUGGGCACAUUUCUUUAAUCAGUAACUGGACGGUCCUGAGGUGUAAACUGGGGCGAAAGCUGAAUACAUGACAGAGGACCAGAUGGUGGCUUUUGAAAUUGUCUAUUUCUGAUCAUUCCUUUACAACCAUCCACCCCAGGAUUAACUCCCACACAGGCACCUCGAGCCCAAAUCCUGCGUCCCUCCCCAAGCAAAUCAGAUUCAUGUUUCUGAUUGUAGGACACUUUGCGUUUGAGGUCCCAUGAUCUCCCCAUUGUCCCUGCAAUCCUGUACCUGGGCUGGGUCCAUCCCUUUCCCCAUUCACACUGAGCAUGAACCUGAAACGUGGGUGCCCCCUGCAUACUGCACCCCGGCCCGAGGUUUCAGCUUCCAAAGGCCCAGAAAGAAGCCUUUGCUGGGUGCGCCCAGGGAGCAGGGUCACUACAGGGGCACAGCACGGGCUCCAUGGCAUGAAAAUGCCACGUCAUAAAACUCACUAUAGUCUUGGUCGCAAACAGGGUGGACUUGGGCUGUCCUAACUUCCUCAGCGUCCCUGUCAGCUCAGCCCGGAUCAGGGUGAGUCUCUCCUGGUUGACGGUCCCCUGGGUCCUGUAACACUCCAGGGGGACAGGGGACAGCUCAAGCUCCAAACUGCACAGCCCGGCCGGGUGGUGCAGCAGCUUCUCCACGGUGGCCACGGGGAGGUUGUUCUCAGGGAUGGUGGAGACCCUGAGCUGGUGGCAGCGGCUCAGGACAGGCAGGAUGGUCUCGACUUGGGAGCCCGCCAUCCCACAGCUAUCCAGGCUCUCCUACCGCAAGUAAGCCUGAUCUUGUAGCCCUCCCUCAUCCCUUCCUAAGUAGCUAAUGUGCUGUGGGAGGUGCAGCAAGUGUCAAACAAGAACAUUUGUAUACAUGUUAAUCUACUCUUAUUUUAAUCAGACUAUAAAAUAAAGCAUAAGCUUGCAG